GGGGCUUCGAGCGGGUCUGCUUUUCGUUUCCGUUUUCCUCCUUUCCCCAGGCUCAUCCCCAGACCGGAAGGUGCCGGGGCCGAGCGGCGCCCAGGCCCACCCGCCCUGAGCCUCCGGAGUUGGGCCACGAGGGCGCCCGCUCCUCCUGGACCCCGCCCAUCAGAGCGGAGAGCGGCUCAGGGUGCGCCUGUCUGGACGGAUCUCCCGCAGGUGGAAAGUGAACGUGUAGUCGAGUUGAAGCUGGUGCCUUGGGGGAAGGAGAAACACGCUGGUGGGCAGAGAUUCCAGAGGGAGAGCCCUCAGGAGCGCCUCGGUGCCUCGGGCCCGUGGCGUGGUCUUGUCGCGCGCUGGACCCCGCGGCUUAUCCCCCCCAGCCUCCGCACAGCCGCCCCGAGCGGCCUCGGGGCCGUGCCAGUUUCGCCGCUUUAAACGCCUUGCAUCCUGAUAUUUUUCCGUCUCCCCUCCAGAUCCUCGACGCAGUGACGCAGAGCCGAGCCUUUCAGGGUUGGCUGCAAGCCAAAGCCCAGCCUCCCGAUGCAGUCUGGAGCCAGCCAGUGUGAAGAGGAGCCCCCUUCCCUCCUGUGGGGUUUGGACCCGGUAUUCUUAGCCUUUGCAAAACUCUACAUCAGGGAUAUCCUGAACUUGAAGGAGUCCCGCCAGGUACAAGGUGUAUUUUUUUACAAUGGGCAUCCAAUAAAGCAGGUAGAGAUCUUGGGAACUGUAAUUGGAAGGAGAGAAAAAGAUGCUUUCUACAGUUAUGGAGUGGAUGACAGCACUGGAGUUAUAAAUUGCAUCUGCUGGAAAAAGUCGAACAAUAUCGAGUCUUCAUCAGCAACUACAGCUGCUCCAACUGCAGGGGAGCUGAGCUUAACCUCACAGCUUAAGAAGCUCCAAGAGACCAUUGAGCAGAAGACAAAGAUAGAAAUUGGGGACAUUAUCCAAAUCAGAGGUUAUGUCCACACAUAUAGAGAAGAACGAGAGAUUCGUGUCACUACUUUCUAUAAAGUGGAUGAUCCAGUGUGCAACAUUCAAAUUGCAAGGAUGCUUGAGCUGCCCAGUAUCUACAGGAAAGUUUAUGACCAGCCUUUCCGCAUCCCAGCCCUAGAGCAAGAAAGCAGCGAUCCAGGUGCCCUGGACCUUGCCAAUCUCACGUGUUUGCUGAGUGAAAGAGCCAAAGAAUUCCUCAUGGAGAACAAAGUGCAAACCUUUUACCAGCAGGAAUUGGAAAUUGUGGAAUCUCUGCUAUCCCUUGCCAAUCAGCCUGUGAUUCACGGCACCUCCUCUGAGCAGGAUUCUAAGAAUGACACCACUUCCAAGGCAAUUCAUAGUAUAUUUAAGAAUGCAAUACAGCUGCUGCAGGAAAAAGGAUUUGUUUUCCAGAAAGAUCAUGGUUUUGAUAAGCUAUAUUAUGUAACCAGAGAAGACAAAGAACUACAUAGAAAGAUCCACCAUAUCAUUCAAGAAGACUGCCAAAAACCAAAUCCAGACACCGAGAAGGGCUGCCACUUCCAGCACAUCUUGGCCUGUGCUCGCCUGAGCAUCAGCCCGGGCCUGAGUGAAGGUGUGCUGCAGCAGGUGCUGGAGCUCCUGGAGGACCAGAGUGACAUCGUCAGCACAACAGAGCACUACUACACGGCGUUCUGAGGAGAGGCCUUCUGAGGAGAGACCAGUGGACGGCGUGGGCGGGGCCAGGCCACGGAAGAGGAAGACGGGGUGGUGGUCACUCCUGGGCUCUGAUUUUAAACAUCACCCUGAGUCCUAUAGCCAUGACAUAGAAGAAAACCUUCCCUGUUGACCUCCAGACUGGACUGGACGUUUGCCCUUGGAGCAGAAGGGAGGAAACAGUGUAAGUGGCUGAAUUGGUGUGUGUGUGGCUUAAGGUUCUGUCAUAGUAAAGGGAUGUCACAUGGUAAAGUGAACUGAAAAGCAUAUAGCCAGAUCACACAGACCUAAAACAUUUUAAAACUUCAGACUGGCAGGUACAUUCUUGUAGGCCUCUCUCAGUGGUUAAGAACUUAGUGUAGGGAACUCAUUCUUGGAUGAGUAUCACUCAUCUGUGAUUUCCAAGGGUCAAGUACCAGUGGUGGAUUCUGAAUCCUGGGAUGGAUGUUGUUUGCAGACCCACCCGGAGAUGAGAAUAAAUGGAUCCAAGGCAUGGCUGUGUUGGUCAUUAACUUCUUUUCUUUAUGAAUCAAAAGGUGUCUCAGUGUAUUUCCCUAAACUUGAUGAUAUACGUGACUAAAGACAUUGUCCUUUAAUGCCCUGAAGUCCCUUGCCGGGCCGGUAGACACUGUUUUCAAGGUUACCACUAAAUGUGCAAGGCGUCCUGACAUCCAGACAAAGACUGUAUGUGCCCAGACAGGUGAUGGAGUCAUGGUGUUGCUAGGAAUGACAAGGUAAAGGGGGAAAAUCUGAGAUAUGUAGUAGGCUUGUUCUAACAGCUAAAUGACAAAUCCAG
Molecule: RNA transcript, 2458 nt
Organism: Nyctereutes procyonoides (raccoon dog)
Lineage: Eukaryota; Metazoa; Chordata; Mammalia; Carnivora; Canidae
Gene: STN1
Gene name: STN1 subunit of CST complex
Exons: 10
Source: RefSeq, a predicted model, not a curated record